CCUACGGGUGACAGCAGUGAGGAAUAUUGGUCAAUGGGCGCGAGCCUGAACCAGCCAAGCAGCGUGAAGGAUGACUGCCCUACGCGUUGUAAACUUCUUUUAUAAAGGAAUAAAGUGAGGCACGUGUCCCUUUUUGUAUGUACUUUAUGAAUAAGCAUCGGCUAACUCCGUGACAGCAGCCGCGGUAAUACGGGAGAUCCGAGCGUUAUCCGGAUUUAUUGGGUUUAAAGGGAGCGUAGGGGGGUCGUUAAGGCAGUUGUGAAAGUUUGCGGCUCAACCGUAAAAUUGCAAGUGAUACUGGCAGUCUUGAGUACGGCUGAGGUAGGCGGAAUGCGCGGUGUAGCGGGGAAAUGCUUAGAU
Molecule: ribosomal RNA, 360 nt
Filed under: uncultured bacterium
Lineage: Bacteria
Description: partial 16S ribosomal RNA
Rfam family: Bacterial small subunit ribosomal RNA
Source: RNAcentral